AUUUCAUUUCUUCCACCCAAAAUCCCAAUUUUUCCACCCAAAAUUCUCUUCCGCCCUCGCGAAUUCCCAUUUUAUUCUGAUUUUCCCCCCAAAUUUUCUCCCAUUUUUCCCCCAAAUUUCCAUCCAACCCAUUUUUUUCUUCACCAAAAAUCCCAUUUUAAGCCAUUUUUCCCAAUUUUUGCUCUAUUUUCCCAAAUUCCCCCCUCCCCACUAUUCCCAUUUUUCCCAAAUUUUUUCCAAUUUUUUCUCUCUAAAUUUUCCCAAUUUCCCUCAAUUUUUUCCCUCCAAAUUUCCCAAUUUCCCCCAAUUUUUCCCUUCAAAUUUUCCCAUUUUCCCUCAAUUUUUUCCAAUUUUUUCUCUCAAUUUUUUCCAAUUUUUUCCCUCCAAAUUUCCCAAUUUUCCCCCAAUUUUCCCCUCCAAAUUUUCCCAUUUUCCCUCAAUUUUUUCCAUGUUUUUCUCUCCAAAUUUCCCAAUUUUCCCCCAAUUUUUCCCCAUUUUCCCAUUUUUAACCCCUUCCUACCCGGGGGCGGCUCCAGGGGCACCACGAACACCUCGGGGCUGGGGGAGGGGCGGCCCCGGGGCGCCGAAAAUUCCCCGGAAAAUUCUCCCGAAAAUUCCCCGGAAUCCUCGGCCCCGUCCGGGCUCUCCAGCUCCUGCAGGGAAAUUCGGGAAAAAGCAAAAAUUUGGGAAUUUUUUGGGAAUUUUUGGGAUUUUUUGGGGAUUUUUUUGGAUUUUUUUUAGGAUUUUUUGGGGAUUUUUUUUUAUUUUUUUGUGAUUUUUUAAAUGAUUUUUUCAAGAAAAUAAUUUGGAUUUUGGGGGAAUUUUUUGCGAAAUUUUAAAGGUUUUUAUUCUUAAUUUUUUUCAGAUUUUUUGGGGAUUUAUUUGGAUUUUUUUUAAGGAGUUUAUGGGGUGAAUUGGGAAAUUUUGGGGAUUUUUCAGGAAUUUUGGAGGUGAAUUCCUGCGGAAUCUGGGCUCUCCAAUUCCUGCAGGGAAAUUCGGGAAAAAGC
RNAcentral lists this long non-coding RNA (1007 nucleotides) under Junco hyemalis (dark-eyed junco). Its description in RNAcentral is "lncRNA (ENSJHYG00000007515.1)". The record is from RNAcentral. Lineage: Eukaryota; Metazoa; Chordata; Aves; Passeriformes; Passerellidae.